ACGUAAUAGAUACCCAGGUAGUCCACGCCCUAAACGAUGUCUACUAGUUGUUGGUGGAGUAAAAUCCAUGAGUAAACGCAGCUAAACGCGUGAAGUAGACCGCCUGGGGAGUACGGUCGCAAGAUUAAAACUCAAAGGAAUUGACGGGGGCCCGCACAAGCGGUGGAUUAUGUGGAUUAAAUUCGAUGCAACGCGAAAAACCUUACCUGGCCUUGACAUGCCACUAACGAAGCAGAGAUGCAUUAGGUGCCCGUAAGGGAAAGUGGACACAGGUGCUGCAUGGCUGUCGUCGGCUCGUGUCGUGAGAUGUUGGGUUAAGUCCCGCAACGAGCGCAACCCUUGCCAUUAAUUGCCAUCAUUUAGUUGGGCACUUUAAUGGGACUGCCGGUGACAAACCGGAGGAAGGUGGGGAUGACGUCAAGUCCUCAUGGCCCUUAUGGCCAGGGCUUCACACGUAAUACAAUGGUCGGUACAGAGAGUUGCCAACCCGCGAGGGGUAGCUAAUCUCAGAAAGCCGAUCGUAGUCCGGAUUGUU
RNAcentral lists this ribosomal RNA (535 nucleotides) under uncultured bacterium. RNAcentral describes it as "bacterial SSU rRNA". It matches the Rfam family "Bacterial small subunit ribosomal RNA", at positions 772 to 1302 of the family's 1533-position model. The record is from RNAcentral.